GGAAAUGUUAUCAGUUAAGUUAUCAGUUCAAUGUUCCAGAUCUAGAAAUUCAGUAUUUCUGACUAAUCUGCCCAGUUUUCUAUAUUUUUAUGAAUUGACAUAUUUCAUUUUCCAGGCCAAUAUUGUGGCACAUAUAUUCUAUUUAUAUAUUUGUUACUGGCUAAUCUCUAUUUUAGCUGCAUUUAGGAAAUGGAUACAUCUAACGCCUGCACUUGUCAUAUUCACCUUGAUGACUUCUGCUGACCUGAAUGUUAAGUUUUGGAGAGAAUGUUAAAUUCUGC
Molecule: non-coding RNA, 281 nt
Organism: Pelobates cultripes (western spadefoot toad)
Lineage: Eukaryota; Metazoa; Chordata; Amphibia; Anura; Pelobatidae
Source: the annotation of a GenBank genome assembly